CAGUAGCCGCGGGAACACGAAGGGGGCUAGCGUUGUUCGGAAUUACUGGGCGUAAAGCGCACGUAGGCGGACAUUUAAGUCAGGGGUGAAAUCCCGGGGCUCAACCCCGGAACUGCCUUUGAUACUGGGUGUCUAGAGUAUGGAAGAGGUGAGUGGAAUUCCGAGUGUAGAGGUGAAAUUCGUAGAUAUUCGGAGGAACACCAGUGGCGAAGGCGGCUCACUGGUCCAUUACUGACGCUGAGGCGCGAAAGCGUGGGGAGCAAACAGGAUUAGAUACCCCCGUAGUCCCUGUCUCUUAUAC
Molecule: ribosomal RNA, 301 nt
Filed under: uncultured bacterium
Lineage: Bacteria
Description: partial 16S ribosomal RNA
Rfam family: Bacterial small subunit ribosomal RNA
Source: RNAcentral